Molecule: ribosomal RNA, 465 nt
Filed under: uncultured bacterium
Lineage: Bacteria
Description: partial 16S ribosomal RNA
Rfam family: Bacterial small subunit ribosomal RNA
Source: RNAcentral
GAUGAACGCUGGCGGCGUGCUUAACACAUGCAAGUCGAACGAUGAAGCCCAGCUUGCUGGGUGGAUUAGUGGCGAACGGGUGAGUAACACGUGAGUAACCUGCCCUUAACUCUGGGAUAAGCCUGGGAAACUGGGUCUAAUACCGGAUAGGAGCGUCCACCGCAUGGUGGGUGUUGGAAAGAUUUAUCGGUUUUGGAUGGACUCGCGGCCUAUCAGCUUGUUGGUGAGGUAUGGCUCACCAAGGCGACGACGGGUAGCCGGCCUGAGAGGGUGACCGGCCACACUGGGACUGAGACACGGCCCAGACUCCUACGGGAGGCAGCAGUGGGGAAUAUUGCACAAUGGGCGAAAGCCUGAUGCAGCGACGCCGCGUGAGGGAUGACGGCCUUCGGGUUGUAAACCUCUUUCAGUAGGGAAGAAGCGAAAGUGACGGUACCUGCAGAAGAAGCACCGGCUAACUACGUG